AAAUAAGUUACAUACUACAAAAGCUGACGAAUUUUCAAUUUUCAAAUUCGUUUGACAUAUUUGAUCACAUGACAACUAUAUAUAAUACAUAUUAUACAGUAUUAGCAGAAUUGAUGUUGUAAAAAACAAUUGUAAAAUAAUAAGAAACCUUUAAAACAUUAAACAGGUACAUGCAUGUAGAGUUUGUGAAUUUUCUAUAUAUCUUUUAGAAAACAAAUGGAGAUUAUAAAUCAACAGACUCGCUGCGAUAAAGUCUUUUUGUGCUAAUGCGGCGUAAAGCAAACAACAAUCAAUCAAUCAAUAAAACAACAGACAAUAUUCGUUCUACACCAUAAAGUAUUCCCUUUUGCAUCUGACAUUUCAUACAGCAUAUGUUGUCACACUCUGGAAAGCUUUCAAGGAACGUUACAAUUUUAGACGUUUUAUUACUUUUCCUUCCCUGCUGUGUGCCUUUCGGUGGUUAUCUUGAGAACUAUUCUUAAUAUAGCUUAAAGAACUACGAAUAUAGAAACCUCUAGAUUUAAAUUGAUCAAACCUGGCAUAAAUAUAGGUUACCAGUUGUCCUGUGAGUGGCUCACUUAAUCUUGAUAUCUUUGUUUUAAACAGGUUUAUAGUAUGUGAACAUCGGUACACUGCCGAUGUAUUUUUAUGUU
This 653-nucleotide long non-coding RNA is filed under the name Mytilus galloprovincialis (Mediterranean mussel). The record is from RNAcentral. Lineage: Eukaryota; Metazoa; Mollusca; Bivalvia; Mytilida; Mytilidae.